This is a long non-coding RNA of Asterias rubens (European starfish), 265 nucleotides long. RefSeq lists it as uncharacterized. Lineage: Eukaryota; Metazoa; Echinodermata; Asteroidea; Forcipulatida; Asteriidae. The record is from RefSeq and is a predicted model, not a curated record. The transcript has 3 exons.
GUCAGCCAUCAUCAUGAAGAUGUCAAGAGAUCACCAGUAACAAAGCUCAUAAUGAUCUGAUUAUGAUUUAGGCCUAUAACUAAAAAGUGUUUGUCCGCCAUUGUCAUGAAGAUGUCAAGAGAUCCCCAGUAACAAAGCUCAUAAUGAUCUGAACAUGAUGUAGGCCUUUAACUAAAAAGUGUUUGUCUGCCAUCAUCAUGAAGAUGUCAAGAGAUCACCAGUAACAAAGCUCAUAAUGAUCUGAGUAUGAUGUAGGCCUAUAACU